Molecule: ribosomal RNA, 468 nt
Filed under: uncultured bacterium
Lineage: Bacteria
Description: partial 16S ribosomal RNA
Rfam family: Bacterial small subunit ribosomal RNA
Source: RNAcentral
GACGAACGCUGGCGGCGUGCUUAACACAUGCCAGUCGAACGGAAAGGCCCUGCUUUUGUGGGGUGCUCGAGUGGCGAACGGGUGAGUAACACGUGAGUAACCUGCCCUUGACUUUGGGAUAACUUCAGGAAACUGGGGCUAAUACCGGAUAGGAGCUCCUGCUGCAUGGUGGGGGUUGGAAAGUUUCGGCGGUUGGGGAUGGACUCGCGGCUUAUCAGCUUGUUGGUGGGGUAGUGGCUUACCAAGGCUUUGACGGGUAGCCGGCCUGAGAGGGUGACCGGCCACAUGGGGACUGAGAUACGGACCAGACUCCUACGGGAGGCAGCAGUGGGGAAUAUUGCACAAUGGGCGGAAGCCUGAUGCAGCAACGCCGCGUGCGGGAUGACGGCCUUCGGGUUGUAAACCGCUUUCGCCUGUGACGAAGCGUGAGUGACGGUAAUGGGUAAAGAAGCACCGGCUAACUACGUG